AGGGAAAUAUGGGAAAUAAGAGUAUUUUUGUCAAGCAGUUUUUUUUUUGCCAAUCUAGAUCAACAAGGACUUUUUGUUUUGCAGCGCACAAGCCAGUGAACUCCCUAGUCUGAACAUGUGAACUCUUUAUAAAAGUGCAUAUGAACUUCUGUCAUGCAUUAAAAUAUGGGAAACAAUUAUGUUGGUGAGGAAGUUUUUGCCAAUCUAG
RNAcentral lists this long non-coding RNA (208 nucleotides) under Brachypodium distachyon (stiff brome). RNAcentral describes it as "long non-coding RNA (BDIS_LNC004339)". Lineage: Eukaryota; Viridiplantae; Streptophyta; Magnoliopsida; Poales; Poaceae. The record is from RNAcentral.